GAUGAACGCUGGCGGCGUGCUUAACACAUGCAAGUCGAGCGAAGCAGUUAAGUUGAUUUCUUCGGAUUGAUUCUUGGCUGACUGAGCGGCGGACGGGUGAGUAACGCGUGGGUGACCUGCCCCAUACCGGGGGAUAACAGCUGGAAACGGCUGCUAAUACCGCAUAAGCGCACAGAGCUGCAUGGCUCAGUGUGAAAAACUCCGGUGGUAUGGGAUGGGCCCGCGUCUGAUUAGGCAGUUGGCGGGGUAACGGCCCACCAAACCGACGAUCAGUAGCCGGCCUGAGAGGGCGACCGGCCACAUUGGGACUGAGACACGGUCCAAACUCCUACGGGAGGCAGCAGUGGGGAAUAUUGCACAAUGGGGGAAACCCUGAUGCAGCGACGCCGCGUGAGUGAAGAAGUAUUUCGGUAUGUAAAGCUCUAUCAGCAGGGAAGAUAAUGA
RNAcentral lists this ribosomal RNA (444 nucleotides) under uncultured bacterium. Its description in RNAcentral is "bacterial SSU rRNA". It matches the Rfam family "Bacterial small subunit ribosomal RNA", at positions 28 to 454 of the family's 1533-position model. The record is from RNAcentral.